AGGGGGGCUGCUCCUAGUACGAGAGGACCGGAGUGGACGCAUCACUGGUGUUCGGGUUGUCAUGCCAAUGGCACUGCCCGGUAGCUAAAUGCGGAAGAGAUAAGUGCUGAAAGCAUCUAAGCACGAAACUUGCCCCGAGAUGAGUUCUCCCUGACCCUUUAAGGUCCUGAAGGAACGUUGAAGACGACGACGUUGAUAGGCCGGGUGUGUAAGCGCAGCGAUGCGUUGAGCUAACCGGUACUAAUGAACCGUGAGGCUUAACCUUACAACGCCGAAGGUGUUU
RNAcentral lists this ribosomal RNA (283 nucleotides) under Shigella flexneri. RNAcentral's name for it is "partial 23S ribosomal RNA". It matches the Rfam family "Bacterial large subunit ribosomal RNA", at positions 2665 to 2925 of the family's 2925-position model. The record is from RNAcentral. Lineage: Bacteria; Pseudomonadati; Pseudomonadota; Gammaproteobacteria; Enterobacterales; Enterobacteriaceae.